UACGUAGGUGGCAAGCGUUGUCCGGAAUUACUGGGCGUAAAGAGCGCGCAGGCGGCUGGUCAAGUCCGAUGUGAAAGCUCCCGGCUUAACUGGGAAAUUGCAUCGGAAACUGAUCGGCUUGAAGGUGGGAGAGGGUAGUGGAAUUCCCGGUGUAGUGGUGAAAUGCGUAGAUAUCGGGAGGAACACCAGUGGCGAAGGCGACUACCUGGCCCACUCUUGACGCUGAGGAGCGAAAGCGUGGGGAGCGAACAGG
RNAcentral lists this ribosomal RNA (253 nucleotides) under uncultured bacterium. RNAcentral describes it as "partial 16S ribosomal RNA". It matches the Rfam family "Bacterial small subunit ribosomal RNA", at positions 524 to 776 of the family's 1533-position model. The record is from RNAcentral.